RNAcentral lists this ribosomal RNA (253 nucleotides) under uncultured bacterium. Its description in RNAcentral is "partial 16S ribosomal RNA". It matches the Rfam family "Bacterial small subunit ribosomal RNA", at positions 524 to 776 of the family's 1533-position model. The record is from RNAcentral.
UGCGAAGGGGGCUAGCGUUGCUCGGAAUCACUGGGCGUAAAGGGUGCGUAGGCGGGUCUUUAAGUCAGGGGUGAAAUCCUGGAGCUCAACUCCAGAACUGCCUUUGAUACUGAAGAUCUUGAGUUCGGGAGAGGUGAGUGGAACUGCGAGUGUAGAGGUGAAAUUCGUAGAUAUUCGCAAGGACACCAGUGGCGAAGGCGGCUCACUGGCCCGAUACUGACGCUGAGGCACGAAAGCGUGGGGAGCAAACAGG